CUCAAACUUUUGUGACUGGUUAUGACUAAGCUCAUGCCAUCUACCUGUUCGAUGUUAUGCUCAUAAGAACUAAAAGAACUAAUUUCUUCAGGUUUGUUUGUGGGAUUUUGAGAGCUACAGAAAUAGUAAAUUGGCAGUACAUGUAAAUACAUCUGGUUCAAGAUUGUUUUGUUGAUUUUGAUUUGGUGACUUUUAUCUUUCUGUAGGUAGUGUCGUGUAGCUCCAGCUGCUGGAUAUGGUUCACCUUGGAGUGGUGCUGAUACACGAGGUUAUUAAGUGAAUUUGAUGCAAAUACGGAGCACAAUAUGAUCCGUAACUAGAAGGUUCUCUAGGAUGUCUUCAGCAAGCUGUCGAUAAGAAAGAUGGAGAUUUUGAUGAUAAAUCAUAUGACAUGUUCUCCAAUCUCCCAACUGCGAAGGAUGUGCAUAUAAUUGAAUACUAGGAUCUUCCCCAAGCAUAUGUGGUUAGGUAGCCUAAAUUUCAGGUUCCCUUCGUCGUGUUUAAACUUGGCUUCAACCUGAGGAGAUUUGCUAUAUCUAUAUCUAUGUCGUUCCAUGGGCGUGCCCGUUGUUCCCUGUUUGUGCUUCACUGCAGAAUUGUUAUCUUACCUUCGUGGUACCAGAUGACUCGGUUGGUGACGUGCAAGUCUGGAUCUAUCCAUGUCUCCUCGCACACUCACCGAGACAUCUUCGAAGUACGUACACAGUUUCAGUGUCCAAACUCAUAUUUUUGGUGUCUCUUUUGCUAAAAUCUUCUUGGUUCUCAGCACUGGUACUACAAAGCAGAAUCCAGUUUAGUGUAAGUUUCUACUAUCCCAUGAAUUCAAGUACUGUGGAUAUCAUGCUGAUGUUACCACAUAGUUCCCAGUUUAGCUCAGGAGGUAACCUGCCAUGGUGUUCUUAUUUUUGUGUGCAGAAAGAAGCACGUUGCAGAUUAGGAAGUCCCAAUCUUUUUUGAGGCCAGGGGUGAUUGCAUAGGAUUUUCUCUGAGAAAACAUACCUUAUUUUGCGCCUCUUGGUUUUCCUAAUUCUGUUUUGUUCUUUCUGACUUAAAACUGAACUAAAGUAAUUGAAUCUGGUCAGAGAUAGAGUAUGAAGGUGAUGGUACAGAAGACAUACCUUAUUUUGCGCCUCUUGGUUUUCCUAAUUCUGUUUUGUUCUUUCUGACUUAAACUGAACUAAAGUAAUUGAAUCGGGUCAGAGAUAGAGUAUGAAGGUGAUGGUACAGAAGUUGCACGAACACAGUAAGUUAAGUCGCAUGCUUUAUUUGGCUUCCUUUUCUUGGUAGCAUGAUCGAGUGUUAGCACAAUAUCCACCAAAAUUUGAUCUUUGAAUUCUCUGAUCUUCUGAUCACACAAACUGCAAUUAGAUUCAGGUAAUGUAGAAAGUGGAGAGAGAUUCUGCAACGAAUUUGUUUUUACCUUAGGUAUGCUAUUUGGGCUGGUCCUUUUGGUGGAUUUUUUUCUGCUAAGUACUAAAUCCUUUUGGAAGACAAACUGCUCCAGUUUUGGAGAGGGUAACUGUCGGCUCGCAUGCUUCUUUGUCUUAGCAGUUAUCAGUACACAAUCACUUAAUAGUCUUUUGUAGUGUUGGUAAACUAAGUGAGUUUCGUAGGAACAUAUGUUGGUGUUGUUGCAGGUUAUGCGUUUUCCUCUGUUAGACGAAGGAAUUGGAUAGCUCUUGCACGUUCUGUGAUCCUUUACUGCGGGUGUUUCAGUCUCCACAAUCUGACAGAUAUGAUUACUCUUACAUAUAUGUUACUGUAUGAUCUUGGAAGACGGAAAUAUUGGAUAAUACUUCUGCCGA
This is a non-coding RNA of Lolium perenne, 1805 nucleotides long. NCBI's taxonomy places the organism in Eukaryota, Viridiplantae, Streptophyta, Magnoliopsida, Poales, Poaceae. The record is from RefSeq and is a predicted model, not a curated record.